GGGAUUGCCCUAGUAACGGCGAGUGAAGCGGCAACAGCUCAAAUUUGAAACCUGGCGCUUGCGUCCGGAUUGUAAUUUGUAGAGGAUGCUUCUGGGCAGCGGCCGUUCUAAGUUCCUUGGAACAGGACGUCAUAGAGGGUGAGAAUCCCGUAUGUGACCGGCGCGCACCCUCCACGUAGCUCCUUCGACGAGUCGAGUUGUUUGGGAAUGCAGCUCUAAAUGGGAGGUAAAUUUCUUCUAAAGCUAAAUAUUGGCCAGAGACCGAUAGCGCACAAGUAGAGUGAUCGAAAGAUGAAAAGCACUUUGGAAAGAGAGUUAAAAAGCACGUGAAAUUGUUGAAAGGGAAGCGCUUCCAACCAGACUCCGCGGCGGUGUUCCGCCGGUCUUUUGACCGGUCCACUCGCCGCCGUGGGGCCAACAUCGUCUGGGGCCGCUGGAUAAGACCGGAGGAAUGUAGCUCAUUGAGUGUUAUAGCCUCCGGUGAUGCGGCGCGUCCCGGGCGAGGUCCGCGCUUCGGCAAGGAUGUUGGCGUAAUGGUUGGCAGCGGCCCGUCUUGAAACACGGACCAAGGAGUCUAACAUCUAUGCGAGUGUUCGGGUGUCAAACCCCUACGCGUAAUGAAAGUGAACGGAGGUGGGAGCUUCGGCGCACCAUCGACCGAUCCUGAUGUCCUCGGAUGGAUUUGAGUAAGAGCAUAGCUGUUGGGACCCGAAAGAUGGUGAACUAUGCCUGAAUAGGGUGAAGCCAGAGGAAACUCUGGUGGAGGCUCGCAGCGGUUCUGACGUGCAAAUCGAUCGUCAAAUUUGGGUAUAGGGGCG
This 818-nucleotide ribosomal RNA is filed under the name Zasmidium scaevolicola. RNAcentral's name for it is "eukaryotic LSU rRNA". It matches the Rfam family "Eukaryotic large subunit ribosomal RNA", at positions 71 to 925 of the family's 3401-position model. The record is from RNAcentral. Lineage: Eukaryota; Fungi; Ascomycota; Dothideomycetes; Mycosphaerellales; Mycosphaerellaceae.